Molecule: ribosomal RNA, 618 nt
Filed under: uncultured bacterium
Lineage: Bacteria
Description: bacterial SSU rRNA
Rfam family: Bacterial small subunit ribosomal RNA
Source: RNAcentral
CCUACGGGAGGCAGCAGUGGGGAAUAUUGGACAAUGGGCGAAAGCCUGAUCCAGCAAUGCCGCGUGUGUGAAGAAGGCCUUCGGGUUGUAAAGCACUUUAAGUUGGGAAGAAAAAGCUCUGGCUAAUAUCUAGAGCCUUGACGGUACCAACAGAAUAAGCACCGGCUAACUCUGUGCCAGCAGCCGCGGUAAUACAGAGGGUGCUAGCGUUAAUCGGAUUUACUGGGCGUAAAGCGUGCGUAGGCGGUUUGAUAAGUCGAUUGUGAAAGCCCCGGGCUUAACCUGGGAAUUGCAGUUGAUACUGUCGGACUAGAAAACGGUAGAGGGAGGCGGAACUCCAGGUGUAGCGGUGAAAUGCGUAGAUAUCUGGAAGAACACCGAUGGCGAAGGCAACCUCCUGGGCCUGUUUUGACGCUGAGGCACGAAAGCGUGGGUAGCAAACAGGAUUAGAUACCCUGGUAGUCCACGCCGUAAACGAUGAGAACUUGACGUUGGUUUGCUUAGCAAAUCGGUGUCGUAGCUAACGCGAUAAGUUCUCCGCCUGGGGAGUACGGCCGCAAGGUUGAAACUCAAAUGAAUUGACGGCUGAGACCGNGCGAGACGACGACGAGGGAGAGG